UACGUAGGGUGCAAGCGUUGUCCGGAAUUAUUGGGCGUAAAGAGCUCGUAGGCGGUCUGUCGCGUCUGCUGUGAAAACUCAGGGCUUAACCCUGAGCUUGCAGUGGGUACGGGCAGACUAGAGUGCGGUAGGGGAGACUGGAAUUCCUGGCGUAGCGGUGGAAUGCGCAGAUAUCAGGAGGAACACCGAUGGCGAAGGCAGAUCUCUGGGCCGUAACUGACGCU
This 224-nucleotide ribosomal RNA is filed under the name uncultured bacterium. RNAcentral's name for it is "partial 16S ribosomal RNA". It matches the Rfam family "Bacterial small subunit ribosomal RNA", at positions 524 to 747 of the family's 1533-position model. The record is from RNAcentral.